UACGUAGGGUGCGGGCGUUAAUCGGAAUUACUGGGCGUAAAGGGCUCGUAGGCGGCCAACUAAGUCGGACGUGAAAUCCCCAGGCUCAACCUGGGAACUGCGUCCGAUACUGGAUGGCUUGAAUCCGGGAGAGGGAUGCAGAAUUCCAGGUGUAGCGGUGAAAUGCGUAGAUAUCUGGAGGAAUACCGGUGGCGAAGGCGGCAUCCUGGACCGGCAUUGACGCUGAGGAGCGAAAGCCAGGGGAGCAAACGGG
Molecule: ribosomal RNA, 253 nt
Filed under: uncultured bacterium
Lineage: Bacteria
Description: partial 16S ribosomal RNA
Rfam family: Bacterial small subunit ribosomal RNA
Source: RNAcentral